CCUACGGGAGGCAGCAGUGAGGAAUAUUGGUCAAUGGGCGCGAGCCUGAACCAGCCAAGUAGCGUGAAGGAUGACUGCCCUACGGGUUGUAAACUUCUUUUAUAAAGGAAUAAAGAGAGGCACGUGUGCCCUUUUGUAUGUACUUUAUGAAUAAGGAUCGGCGAACUCCGUGCCAGCAGCCGCGGUAAUACGGAGGAUCCGAGCGUUAUCUGGAUUUAUUGGGUUUAAAGGGAGCGGAGAUGGGUUGUUAAGUCAGUUGUGAAAGUUUGCGGCUCAACCGUAAAAUUGCAAUUGAUACUGGCAGUCUAGAGUACAGUAGAGGUAGGCGGAAUUCGUGGUGUAGCGGUGAAAUGCGUAGAUAUGACGAAGAACUCCGAAUGCGAAGGCAGCUUACUAAACAGCUACUGACAUUGAUGCGCGAAAGUGUGGGUAUCAAACAGGAUUAGAUACCCGGGUAGUC
Molecule: ribosomal RNA, 460 nt
Filed under: uncultured bacterium
Lineage: Bacteria
Description: partial 16S ribosomal RNA
Rfam family: Bacterial small subunit ribosomal RNA
Source: RNAcentral